This 433-nucleotide ribosomal RNA is filed under the name uncultured bacterium. RNAcentral describes it as "partial 16S ribosomal RNA". It matches the Rfam family "Bacterial small subunit ribosomal RNA", at positions 29 to 507 of the family's 1533-position model. The record is from RNAcentral.
AACGAACGCUGGCGGCAUGCCUAACACAUGCAAGUCGAACGAGACCUUCGGGUCUAGUGGCGCACGGGUGCGUAACGCGUGGGAACCUGCCCUUAGGUUCGGAAUAACUCCCCGAAAGGGGUGCUAAUACCGGAUAAUGUCUUCAGACCAAAGAUUUAUCGCCUUUGGAUGGGCCCGCGUUGGAUUAGCUAGUUGGUAGGGUAAAAGCCUACCAAGGCGACGAUCCAUAGCUGGCCUGAGAGGAUGAUCAGCCACACUGGGACUGAGACACGGCCCAGACUCCUACGGGAGGCAGCAGUGGGGAAUAUUGGACAAUGGGCGAAAGCCUGAUCCAGCAAUGCCGCGUGAGUGAUGAAGGCCUUAGGGUUGUAAAGCUCUUUUACCCGGGAUGAUAAUGACAGUACCGGGAGAAUAAGCUCCGGCUAACUCCGUG